UACGAAGGGGGCUAGCGUUGCUCGGAAUCACUGGGCGUAAAGGGUGCGUAGGCGGGUUUUUAAGUCAGGGGUGAAAUCCUGGAGCUCAACUCCAGAACUGCCUUUGAUACUGAAGAUCUUGAGUCCGGGAGAGGUGAGUGGAACUGCGAGUGUAGAGGUGAAAUUCGUAGAUAUUCGCAAGAACACCAGUGGCGAAGGCGACUGACUGGACAGAUAUUGACGCUGAGGUGCGAAAGCGUGGGGAGCAAACAGG
RNAcentral lists this ribosomal RNA (253 nucleotides) under uncultured bacterium. RNAcentral describes it as "partial 16S ribosomal RNA". It matches the Rfam family "Bacterial small subunit ribosomal RNA", at positions 524 to 776 of the family's 1533-position model. The record is from RNAcentral.